AGAAAUGCGUCAAGACGCUCAGA
RNAcentral lists this microRNA (23 nucleotides) under Caenorhabditis briggsae. RNAcentral describes it as "Cbr-Novel-4_5p* (star (passenger))". Lineage: Eukaryota; Metazoa; Nematoda; Chromadorea; Rhabditida; Rhabditidae. The record is from RNAcentral.